AAUGAACGCUGGCGGUAGGCCUAACACAUGCAAGUCGAACGGCAGCACAGUAAGAGCUUGCUCUUACGGGUGGCGAGUGGCGGACGGGUGAGGCAUACAUCGGAAUCUACUUUUUCGUGGGGGAUAACGUAGGGAAACUUACGCUAAUACCGCAUACGACCUACGGGUUAAAUCAUGGGAGCUUCGGACCUUGCGCGUUUGAAUGAGCUGAUGUCGUAUUGGCUUGGUGGCGGGGUAAAGGCCCACCAAGGCGACGAUCCGUAGCUGAUCUGAGAGAAUGAGCAGCCACAGUGGAACUAAGACACGGUCCAGACUCCUACGGGAGGCAGCAGUGGGGAAUAUUGGACAAUGGGCGAAAGCAUGAUGCAGCGAUGCCGCGUGGGUGAAGAAGGUCUUCGGGUUGUAAAGCGCUUUUGUUGGGAAAGAAAAGCAGUAGGUUAAUCCCCCGCUGUUCUGACGGUACCCAAAGAAUAAGCACCGGCUAACUUCGUG
This 492-nucleotide ribosomal RNA is filed under the name uncultured bacterium. RNAcentral's name for it is "partial 16S ribosomal RNA". It matches the Rfam family "Bacterial small subunit ribosomal RNA", at positions 29 to 507 of the family's 1533-position model. The record is from RNAcentral.